GAUGAACGCUGGCGGCGUGCCUAAUACAUGCGAGUCGAGCGAACGGACGAGAAGCUUGCUUCUCUGAUGUUAGCGGCGGACGGGCGAGUAACACGUGGAUAACCUACCUAUAAGACUGGGGUAACUUCGGGAAACCGUAGCUAAUACCGGAUAAUAUUUUGAACCGCAUGGUUCAAAAGUGAAAGACGGUCUUGCUGUCACUUAUAGAUGGAUCCGCGCUGCAUUAGCUAGUUGGUAAGGUAACGGCUUACCAAGGCAACGAUGCAUAGCCGACCUGAGAGGGUGAUCGGCCACACUGGAACUGAGACACGGUCCAGACUCCUACGGGAGGCAGCAGUAGGGAAUCUUCCGCAAUGGGCGAAAGCCUGACGGAGCAACGCCGCGUGAGUGAUGAAGGUCUUCGGAUCGUAAAACUCUGUUAUUAGGGAAGAACAUAUGUGUAAGUAACUGUGCACAUCUUGACGGUACCUAAUCAGAAAGCCACGGCUAACUACGUG
This 497-nucleotide ribosomal RNA is filed under the name uncultured bacterium. RNAcentral's name for it is "partial 16S ribosomal RNA". It matches the Rfam family "Bacterial small subunit ribosomal RNA", at positions 28 to 507 of the family's 1533-position model. The record is from RNAcentral.